Molecule: ribosomal RNA, 253 nt
Filed under: uncultured bacterium
Lineage: Bacteria
Description: partial 16S ribosomal RNA
Rfam family: Bacterial small subunit ribosomal RNA
Source: RNAcentral
UACGGGGGGGGCAAGCGUUGUUCGGAAUUACUGGGCGUAAAGGGUUCGUAGGUGGCUUGCUAAGUCAGACGUGAAAUCCCUCAGCUUAACUGGGGAACUGCGUCUGAGACUGGUGAGCUUGAGUGCAGGAGAGGAACGCGGAAUUCCAGGUGUAGCGGUGAAAUGCGUAGAUAUCGGGAGGAAUACCGAUGGCGAAGGCAGGUCUCUGGGCUAUAACUGACGCUCAUGCACGAAAGCGUGGGGAGCAAACAGG